This 408-nucleotide ribosomal RNA is filed under the name uncultured bacterium. Its description in RNAcentral is "bacterial SSU rRNA". It matches the Rfam family "Bacterial small subunit ribosomal RNA", at positions 116 to 518 of the family's 1533-position model. The record is from RNAcentral.
CGUAUCCAACCUUCCCUAUAGUAGAGGAUAGCCCGGCGAAAGUCGGAUUAAUACUCUAUGUUUUCCAAUGCAGACAUCUAAAAAUGGAACAAAGGUUUACCGCUAUAGGAUGGGGGAUGCGUCUGAUUAGGUUGUUGGCGGGGUAACGGCCCACCAAGCCUACGAUCAGUAGGGGUUCUGAGAGGAAGGUCCCCCACAUUGGAACUGAGACACGGUCCAAACUCCUACGGGAGGCAGCAGUGAGGAAUAUUGGUCAAUGGGCGAGAGCCUGAACCAGCCAAGUAGCGUGCCAGGAUGACGGCCCUAUGGGUUGUAAACUGCUUUUUAUACAGGGAUAAAGUGCGCCACGUGUGGCGUUUUGUAGGUACUGUAUGAAUAAGGACCGGCUAAUUCCGUGCCAGCAGCCGC